This 2557-nucleotide long non-coding RNA is filed under the name Lathyrus oleraceus (garden pea). RNAcentral describes it as "Pisum sativum (pea) long non-coding RNA (PSAT_LNC009703)". Lineage: Eukaryota; Viridiplantae; Streptophyta; Magnoliopsida; Fabales; Fabaceae. The record is from RNAcentral.
ACAAAGACAUGAUAAAAGGCCAAAAAUAAAAUAUGAUAUAGAUGCAAGCAAUGAUGGUAAACAAUAAAAUAAACACAGCCUAAAACAAAUUAUGACAUAUAAUUGAUGAAGCAAUUCAGCCAGAAAUAUUGAAAUUGAAGCGCAACAAAGAAAAAUACAUUGUGACAAGUUUUCCAACAACACUAGGUUAAUAAAUUAGUCUUCUACAUCUAGACAAAAGCUGUGGUAAUGUCACUUCGAAACAAAGCUAGCCCCUUCUAUGAACCAAGGACCAAAUUAGAAGCUCAUGCGGCAAAGAAAUCUUCAGGGAGAUGAAAUUUCAAACCAUUAGCCUGCAACCAUUGAAAAUAACUAAAUGAAUUAAAUAAAAACCUGCAAAAGCUAAAACCAGGUAGUUUCCAAUCAAUCGGUAAAAUUAAAAUUAAAAUAUUUAUGACAUCAAAGUUCAGAUGUUUUGUCUUGUCAUGAUAAAUUGGAUUCUUAAUAAUGAUGGUAGACUGAUUAUGACAACACGUUUAUAGAAACCGAAUUGAGGAGUUCAAUUUCAUGAAACACUCUUUUUAACCAUAUUCUCUCACAAAGACCUUGAGACAGCUCUAAAUUCAUCUUCUGAUGAAUUAGGGACAUAGCAUGGCAUCAUAUUCUGUUUGUAUUGAUUGAAUGAUGAUUACACUGAAUUGGAUUUAUUUAUAGAUCUUUUUUCGUGACCGGCUAAAUCAGGUUAAGUCUAGAACUGUCUCACACGUGUCUGUCAAUUUGUUAGAGUUGUUUUAAUUGUUUCUAACUGUCAGAUGUCAAUUUGUUAGAGUUGUUUUAAUUGUUUCUAACUGUCAGAUAGUUAGUUACAGUUUGUCACAGGGUUAUGCUAUAGUGUACAUUAAUCAAUAAUAAUCACAACUGGUGAAAGAUACAACCAUAAACCUAAACAACAAUCACAGAGAGAUAGAUAGAAAGAGAGGCACUCAAACUUCGCAUUAUGAAUCAUGCCAUGAUUCAUCAAUGUUAUCGAUUGCAGAUGCAUCUAUAGCGGAAAACAAAACAUUCCCAUUUUAUGCCCCGUCAUAUCUGCCACAAAAGGCCAUGGCACAGCCAGCCUCCACAAAUUGGCCAUGAUGGUCGUCACAAAAAUUCGCCAUAGCUGAUAUUUGACAAUGUUGUUAUUCAUUUAACAANCUAAUCAGAUAGGGAUGUACCUAUAUUGAUUUAAUGCGUGUGCUAGAGAAAAGUAGAAUAAAAUUUCAGUUUGGAAAGCUGAGAAGUUUCUCUGCAGAAUCACAACUCUUCUCUCCCCUUUCUCGUGAACCCUAGUUCCUUUCUUCUCAAUCAUCCUUUCUUCUCUUCAUUAUCAAUUGGAUGAGAAUCAUCUUGCAACAAUGUUGGUUGAUUCACUUGAGUGAAGAGAAAACGAAUGAGUAAAAAUCAGAAAAAUGGAUUUUUGUUUAUCAAAAUUGAUGCGGGAAUUCUCAUAGAGUUUUUGGUACAUGUCCCAUAAGGCAAUAUUAUUUAAUCAAACUCAGUAUGCUAGAGCACGAUGGUGAUUCUGGAGUAACUCCAUGUUUCUGUCGAGCAACAUGCUUCGACAUAAGGAAUUACAUUCUCAACAAUUAUGAGAUAGAACAAAUGUCAGAAGAUCCUUUAAGAUGCGAUCUAUCAAUUAUGUUCCCCCUAGUUAAUAUAAUCAUGUGUCCUUAUAGAGUAAGUUCAUUUUAGAUCAUGUUGGAUUAGAAACUUCAUAUGGAUAAAUGGAGAAGUGACACCAUCGACCUGGCAUCAGAAGAAUGACGUGGGCUUUUUGUCGUAAUGAUUUCUGGUGGACCUACACCGGGUCAAAUCCAAACCAGUUGGUCAUUGGCCUAGACUGAAAAAAUUGGUCUGUAGUGGUCAUUGAAAAAAUUAAGGUUAAAGAAGGAAAUGAUAAGGAAGUUUACAAGAAGGUUGAACAUGGUGGUAUCAACGGCGUCAAUAUUAAAGUAUAUCACUUUGUUCAACAAGUUGGAGAAGAUAGUGAAAUUUAUCCUAAUUAUAUUAGUAGUAUGAAAGAGAGAAAGAUGAGUCGCAAAGAGAAGAGAGUUGCAUAAAAGGAUAAGUGAUCUUGCGCAUAAGUUAAAAAUGAUGACAUUUUUUAUGAAAAAAGGAUUCUUGUAAACACAAGCAUUUGAAACGCAAUCAUACUUAAUAAUGUACUAGAGAGUGUUCAUGUUAAAGCUGAGGAGUACAAUACUGAUUUCACAAAGACAUGAUAAAAGGCCAAAAAUAAAAUAUGAUAUAGAUGCAAGCAAUGAUGGUAAACAAUAAAAUAAACACAGCCUAAAACAAAUUAUGACAUAUAAUUGAUGAAGCAAUUCAGCCAGAAAUAUUGAAAUUGAAGCGCAACAAAGAAAAAUACAUUGUGACAAGUUUUCCAACAACACUAGGUUAAUAAAUUAGUCUUCUACAUCUAGACAAAAGCUGUGGUAAUGUCACUUCGAAACAAAGCUAGCCCCUUCUAUGAACCAAGGACCAAAUUAGAAGCUCAUGCGGCAAAGAAAUCUUCAGGGAGAUGAAAUUUCAAACCAUU